This 397-nucleotide ribosomal RNA is filed under the name uncultured bacterium. RNAcentral's name for it is "partial 16S ribosomal RNA". It matches the Rfam family "Bacterial small subunit ribosomal RNA", at positions 523 to 918 of the family's 1533-position model. The record is from RNAcentral.
AUACGUAGGGGGCGAGCGUUGUCCGGAAUGACUGGGCGUAAAGGGCGCGUAGGCGGCUUUGCAAGUCAGUAGUGGAAGCCCAUUUUUCAAGGAUGGAAGUGCUACAGAAACUGCGGAGCUUGAGUGCAGGAGAGGUUAUCGGAAUUCCCGGUGUAGCGGUGAAAUGCGUAGAGAUCGGGAGGAACACCAGUGGCGAAGGCGGGUAACUGGACUGCAACUGACGCUGAGGCGCGAAAGUGUGGGGAGCAAACAGGAUUAGAUACCCUGGUAGUCCACACCGUAAACGAUGAAUACUAGGUGUAGGAGGUAUCGACUCCUUCUGUGCCGCAGCAAACGCAUUAAGUAUUCCACCUGGGGAGUACGGCCGCAAGGUUAAAACUCAAAGGAAUUGACGGGG